This 84-nucleotide small nucleolar RNA is filed under the name Sorex araneus (European shrew). RNAcentral describes it as "Small nucleolar RNA U13 (ENSSARG00000019561.1)". The record is from RNAcentral. Lineage: Eukaryota; Metazoa; Chordata; Mammalia; Eulipotyphla; Soricidae.
AUCCUUUGCUUGUUCAUAAGCACUAUGAUUGGUUGUUUAUAUGCUUAAAACUUGUUACUCAUUUGGCUCAUAACCCAUCUAACA